Molecule: ribosomal RNA, 450 nt
Filed under: Streptomyces atrovirens
Lineage: Bacteria; Bacillati; Actinomycetota; Actinomycetes; Kitasatosporales; Streptomycetaceae
Description: bacterial SSU rRNA
Rfam family: Bacterial small subunit ribosomal RNA
Source: RNAcentral
UGGCGAACGGGUGAGUAACACGUGGGCAAUCUGCCCUGCACUCUGGGACAAGCCCUGGAAACGGGGUCUAAUACCGGAUACUGACCCGCUUGGGCAUCCAAGCGGUUCGAAAGCUCCGGCGGUGCAGGAUGAGCCCGCGGCCUAUCAGCUUGUUGGUGAGGUAACGGCUCACCAAGGCGACGACGGGUAGCCGGCCUGAGAGGGCGACCGGCCACACUGGGACUGAGACACGGCCCAGACUCCUACGGGAGGCAGCAGUGGGGAAUAUUGCACAAUGGGCGCAAGCCUGAUGCAGCGACGCCGCGUGAGGGAUGACGGCCUUCGGGUUGUAAACCUCUUUCAGCAGGGAAGAAGCGCAAGUGACGGUACCUGCAGAAGAAGCGCCGGCUAACUACGUGCCAGCAGCCGCGGUAAUACGUAGGGCGCAAGCGUUGUCCGGAAUUAUUGGGC